GUUUCUCAAUUUGACUUAGGGAAGAAUGACAGUGGCUGAUUAUGAAGCUAAGUUUUUUAAGCUGUCUCACUUUGCUCCAGCAUUUAUAAUGGAUGAAAAGAAAAAAUAUUGGUUAUUUUAGGAUGGGCUGCACCUUGAGAUUAAGGCAAAAACAAAAAUGCAUAACUAUAUCUGUUUUGCAGAAUUAGUUGUGGGAGCUAUCAGGAUAGAAAAGAUUGAAAAGAAAUUUUAUAAUCAUAGGCAAG
This 245-nucleotide long non-coding RNA is filed under the name Elaeis guineensis (African oil palm). Its description in RNAcentral is "long non-coding RNA (EGUI_LNC060970)". Lineage: Eukaryota; Viridiplantae; Streptophyta; Magnoliopsida; Arecales; Arecaceae. The record is from RNAcentral.